GCGGGAGUGGCGCAAUGGUGGCGCAUCUGCUUCCCAAGCAGAGGGUUGCGGGUUCGAGCCCCGUCUCCCGCUCCA
RNAcentral lists this transfer RNA (75 nucleotides) under Chloroflexales bacterium. RNAcentral describes it as "tRNA-Gly". It matches the Rfam family "tRNA". Rfam says of the family: Transfer RNA (tRNA) molecules are approximately 80 nucleotides in length. Their secondary structure includes four short double-helical elements and three loops (D, anti-codon, and T loops). Further hydrogen bonds mediate the characteristic L-shaped molecular structure. tRNAs have two regions of fundamental functional importance: the anti-codon, which is responsible for specific mRNA codon recognition, and the 3' end, to which the tRNAs corresponding amino acid is attached (by aminoacyl-tRNA synthetases). tRNAs cope with the degeneracy of the genetic code in two manners: having more than one tRNA (with a specific anti-codon) for a particular amino acid; and 'wobble' base-pairing, i.e. permitting non-standard base-pairing at the 3rd anti-codon position. The record is from RNAcentral. Lineage: Bacteria; Bacillati; Chloroflexota; Chloroflexia; Chloroflexales.